UACGAAGGGGGCUAGCGUUGCUCGGAAUCACUGGGCGUAAAGGGUGCGUAGGCGGGUCUUUAAGUCAGGGGUGAAAUCCUGGAGCUCAACUCCAGAACUGCCUUUGAUACUGAAGAUCUUGAGUUCGGGAGAGGUGAGUGGAACUGCGAGUGUAGAGGUGAAAUUCGUAGAUAUUCGCAAGAACACCAGUGGCGAAGGCGGCUCACUGGCCCGAUACUGACGCUGAGGCACGAAAGUGUGGGGAGCGAACAGG
This 253-nucleotide ribosomal RNA is filed under the name uncultured bacterium. RNAcentral describes it as "partial 16S ribosomal RNA". It matches the Rfam family "Bacterial small subunit ribosomal RNA", at positions 524 to 776 of the family's 1533-position model. The record is from RNAcentral.